UGGGGAAUAUUGCGCAAUGGGCGAAAGCCUGACGCAGCGACGCCGCGUGAGGGAUGAAGGUCUUCGGAUUGUAAACCUCUUUCAGCAGGGACGAAGCGAAAGUGACGGUACCUGAAGAAGAAGCACCGGCUAACUACGUGCCAGCAGCCGCGGUAAUACGUAGGGUGCAAGCGUUGUCCGGAUUUAUUGGGCGUAAAGAGCUCGUAGGCGGUUAGACACGUCGGAUGUGGAAACUGGGGGCUCAACUCC
Molecule: ribosomal RNA, 249 nt
Filed under: uncultured Actinomycetales bacterium
Lineage: Bacteria; Bacillati; Actinomycetota; Actinomycetes; Actinomycetales
Description: partial 16S ribosomal RNA
Rfam family: Bacterial small subunit ribosomal RNA
Source: RNAcentral